AGAGAGAGAGAGAGAGUCCGGCUGGUAUACUAGCGGUAGCACAGAAGCCUCCGUGCUACCAAGUUGUUUUCAAUGAUAUAGUUUUUAAAUUUACGAACGGCUCUAUUAGACUUGAUCUAUAAUAUUGAAAAUAUUUGGAAACCAAAUUUCAUAAUUUUUAGAUAUCAUUAACCUAUAAAAUGAGUUGUCUAAAAAUGAACGACAAAAAAAUAAAAAUCUCAUAAAAAUGAUGAUAAAAGAUUGAAUUUAAGAUCAUAGAUACUGAUCUUAUUCUAAAUAGUAAAAAAAAUUUCUAUAAAAAUUUCACCAGAUUUAGAUUGUUUUAUGCUGUUAAAUUCGAAAACGCAUUACAUCAACCAUUAAAAUUGUCAAUUUUGAGACUUUUUAAUUACUAGCCAAAUAAUAUCAAAAAAUUAUAAAAUUUAGUUUCCAAACACUUUUAAUAGUAUAGAUCAAAUCUAACGAAACCGAUUAUCAAUUUGGAAAUCACAUCAUUGAAAACAACUUGGUAGCACGGAGUGCUCCGUGUUACCGAUAGUACACCAGGCAAGCUCUCGUGUGUGUAAAACAACUUGAUAGCACGGAGUGCUCCGUGUUACCGAUAGUAUACAUGGCAAGCUCUCGUUAUAUAUAUAGUUCGGCUAUGGUGCUUGUAAAAAUACUAAGCACUUGGUGCUUGUGAAUUUUUUACCGUUAGAUUUACGCCUUUAAUCAUUUUCACCCGUUAGAUUAUACUAUUCAACCAACUAACCACUUAACCCUAGGGGGCCCACAUCAUCCUAACCGCACAUCCCUUAAUCCAAGGGCCGAAAACUUACAAGUGCCAAUGUCACGCCCCGGGGUCCCUUUCGGUUUAAGAGAUAGCGGAAAAGCGUCUGAAAUUUUUUUUUGAAAACCUGACCCCAGAGUAUGUCAGAUCCGCCACAAAUAUAGGAGAUCCACUAUUCACACGGACAGAGUCUCCCCUGUAUUUGCACGGCGUCGCACAAGUACAAGAAUACAACCAGGAUACAACCACAACUAGAUGAAUAUAAAGAUCACUAUACAUUCAUACAUUCACCAUUCACAUCACAGUUUUACAUUCAAUGUUUAAACAGAAAUCCAUAGAAAAACCUUUUGAAAACUGUUUCCUAUACGGAAACCUUUAUUCUUUAAAAACGCUACCACGAGGGGUAGAAAACCUUUUAUUACAUUCAUGAAAAUCCACAUAUUCAAAUGUAAUAAAAAUACUGAACCAUAUAAACUAUCUAAGCUAUAUAUCAACAGAAAUAAACAGGGUAAGAGCUAAACCGAACGACCUGGGUCGGAAGAUCUAUCGACCGCUACGUACGUGUCUCACGUCUCGUCUAAACCUCACCGCCUGCAAUACCUGAAAAAUAGUGGGGGAGGUGAGAUCAUGUAAACAUGUCUCCCCUCCCAGUGGGUACUGCAAGCCGAUGAAGGCGAGGAGUACUCACCGGAUCAGGAAGAACUAUACAACAACAUGGGUUAGUGGAAAUAAACAAGGUAAUGAGCAGAUAUACAAUAGCGAUAAACUGAAAGGAAGUAAGAACUAUACUGAAUAAACGGCUACCGCUACUGUAACUGGAACAGAAAGCAUACAUGAAUAUCUACUAUAGUAGCAAGACAACUAUAAAGUAAGAUCUGUAAGUAUGCAUGCAAUGACUGCUACUAUAGACAUAUGCGUCAACCGGUCAAGAAGUCCAAAAGUACCCAAUCUGAAACCAAUGCUCUCUUGGUCAGCACCGCAGACCUCAAGCCAGUGCCACUACUACUCUCCAGUGCAUAUAACCUCUCUAGGGCUCACGGGUUGUCACCAUUCAACCACUUUUCCGGAAAAGAACACUCCUUGCGGUGGAUCAGACCGCCAGUGUUCGUGAAAUGCGACGAGUAUCGGGCGAUCAAUGCAAUAUGCUCAAUAAUCAACCGUCGGCAACCAGCCGACAAUCCUGCCCCCCAGGGCCCAUCGACCGCAUAGGUCGUCAACUGUAAGGAAGCACAAGAACCGACCACUCANN
Molecule: long non-coding RNA, 2018 nt
Filed under: Ananas comosus (pineapple)
Lineage: Eukaryota; Viridiplantae; Streptophyta; Magnoliopsida; Poales; Bromeliaceae
Description: long non-coding RNA (ACOM_LNC008964)
Source: RNAcentral